RNAcentral lists this ribosomal RNA (497 nucleotides) under uncultured bacterium. RNAcentral's name for it is "partial 16S ribosomal RNA". It matches the Rfam family "Bacterial small subunit ribosomal RNA", at positions 28 to 507 of the family's 1533-position model. The record is from RNAcentral.
GAUGAACGCUGGCGGCGUGCCUAAUACAUGCAAGUCGAGCGAACAGACGAGGAGCUUGUUCCUCUGACGUUAGCGGCGGACGGGUGAGUAACACGUGGAUAACCUACCUAUAAGACUGGGAUAACUUCGGGAAACCGGAGCUAAUACCGGAUAAUUUAUUGAACCGCAUGGUUCAAUAGUGAAAGACGGUUUUGCUGUCACUUAUAGAUGGAUCCGCGCCGCAUUAGCUAGUUGGUAAGGUAACGGCUUACCAAGGCAACGAUGCGUAGCCGACCUGAGAGGGUGAUCGGCCACACUGGAACUGAGACACGGUCCAGACUCCUACGGGAGGCAGCAGUAGGGAAUCUUCCGCAAAGGGCGAAAGCCUGACGGAGCAACGCCGCGUGAGUGAUGAAGGUCUUCGGAUCGUAAAACUCUGUUAUUAGGGAAGAACAAAUGUGUAAGUAACUAUGCACGUCUUGACGGUACCUAAUCAGAAAGCCACGGCUAACUACGUG